UCCCAAAAAAAAUUUAUGGUGUUUACAGAAAUUUUUAUUGUGUAGCCUUAGAACAUAGAAUACCAGGAAGCAACAUAAGGCAAAUAUUUAUUUCUUCUUAUGUGGAAGAUAAGAAUUUUGUAUGACAUUAAUGUUGAGAUAUUGUAAUAAUCCCUGUACUUUUUUAAUAAUUGACGAAUUUAGUUGAGAGUUCAGGUCUCCAAAAGAUGAAAGGAGGUGAGCGUCAUGGAUUCAUUUUUUAAAUGAGCUUGAAUUUGUUCCAAAAACUCAAAUUUAUUUAUGCUCUCGUCAUUUUGCUGAUAAUUGUUCUGAUCGAACUCCAAAGGCUAAAGUGGGACUUCAUCCCAUUGCUGUGCCAACAAUUGUGGUAGUUCGUUGAAAAUAUGUAGAAAAUUGUAAUGCAAUAGUGACCAUACCCUCGAAAUGCGUGGAAGGUGCUCUAAUGGAUCAUGAUUAUGUAUGUUCAAUUACUGAAGCCUCAGGUAUUGCUAGACCUUCAUCUACAUCCGAGCCUUUAUAUAUGCCCAGAAUAUCAGUUAGAGAACAAACCCCCCAUCUUGUGAUGAUAUACACCUCCAAAAAAAUC
Long non-coding RNA from Harmonia axyridis, 586 nucleotides. RefSeq lists it as uncharacterized. NCBI's taxonomy places the organism in Eukaryota, Metazoa, Arthropoda, Insecta, Coleoptera, Coccinellidae. The record is from RefSeq and is a predicted model, not a curated record. The transcript has 3 exons.